UACAGAGGUCUCAAGCGUUGUUCGGAUUCAUUGGGCGUAAAGGGUGCGUAGGCGGCGCGGUAAGUCGGGGGUGAAAUCCUGGAGCUCAACUCCAGAACUGCCUUCGAUACUGGCGAUCUCGAGUUCGGGAGAGGUGAGUGGAACUGCGAGUGUAGAGGUGAAAUUCGUAGAUAUUCGCAAGAACACCAGUGGCGAAGGCGGCUCACUGGCCCGAUACUGACGCUGAGGUGCGAAAGCGUGGGGAGCAAACAGG
This 253-nucleotide ribosomal RNA is filed under the name uncultured bacterium. RNAcentral describes it as "partial 16S ribosomal RNA". It matches the Rfam family "Bacterial small subunit ribosomal RNA", at positions 524 to 776 of the family's 1533-position model. The record is from RNAcentral.